This 497-nucleotide ribosomal RNA is filed under the name uncultured bacterium. RNAcentral describes it as "partial 16S ribosomal RNA". It matches the Rfam family "Bacterial small subunit ribosomal RNA", at positions 28 to 507 of the family's 1533-position model. The record is from RNAcentral.
GAUGAACGCUGGCGGCGUGCCUAAUACAUGCAAGUCGAGCGAACGGACGAGAAGCUUGCUUCUCUGAUGUUAGCGGCGGACGGGUGAGUAACACGUGGAUAACCUACCUAUAAGACUGGGAUAACUUCGGGAAACCGGAGCUAAUACCGGAUAAUAUUUUGAACCGCAUGGUUCAAAAGUGAAAGACGGUCUUGCUGUCACUUAUAGAUGGAUCCGCGCUGCAUUAGCAAGUUGGUAAGGUAACGGCUUACCAAGGCAACGAUGCAUAGCCGACCUGAGAGGGUGAUCGGCCACACUGGAACUGAGACACGGUCCAGACUCCUACGGGAGGCAGCAGUAGGGAAUCUUCCGCAAUGGGCGAAAGCCUGACGGAGCAACGCCGCGUGAGCGAUGAAGGUCUUCGGAUCGUAAAACUCUGUUAUUAGGGAAGAACAUAUGUGUAAGUAACUGUGCACAUCUUGACGGUACCUAAUCAGAAAGCCACGGCUAACUACGUG